CAAUAGCGUAUAUUAAAGUUGUUGCGGUAAAAAAGCUCGUAGUUGGAUUUCUACCGAAGAUAGCCGGUCGGGUCUUCGACCUUGUAUCUGGUUUUGUCUUUGGUAUCCUCAUAGGGAACGUUUCUGCGCUUUAUUGCGUGGUGCGGUAUCUAUGACUUUUACUUUGAGGAAAUUAGAGUGUUCACGGCAGGCAAACGCCUUGAAUAUAUUAGCAUGGAAUAAUAACAUAGGAUCUUCGUCCUAUUUUGUUGGUUUCUAGGGCUAAGAUAAUGAUUAAUAGGGAUAAUUGAGGGCAUCUGUAUCAACGCGUCAGAGGUGGAAUUCUUGGAUUGCGUUGCGACAAACUACUGCGAAAGCAUUUGCCAAGGAUGUUUUCAUUGA
RNAcentral lists this ribosomal RNA (381 nucleotides) under uncultured eukaryote. RNAcentral's name for it is "partial 18S ribosomal RNA". It matches the Rfam family "Eukaryotic small subunit ribosomal RNA", at positions 592 to 976 of the family's 1831-position model. The record is from RNAcentral.